This 492-nucleotide ribosomal RNA is filed under the name uncultured bacterium. RNAcentral describes it as "partial 16S ribosomal RNA". It matches the Rfam family "Bacterial small subunit ribosomal RNA", at positions 29 to 507 of the family's 1533-position model. The record is from RNAcentral.
AGUGAACGCUGGCGGUAGGCCUAACACAUGCAAGUCGAACGGCAGCACAGUAAGAGCUUGCUCUUACGGGUGGCGAGUGGCGGACGGGUGAGGAAUACAUCGGAAUCUACUUUUUCGUGGGGGAUAACGUAGGGAAACUUACGCUAAUACCGCAUACGACCUACGGGUGAAAUCAGGGGAUCUUCGGACCUUGCGCGAUUGAAUGAGCCGAUGUCGGAUUAGCUAGUUGGCGGGGUAAAGGCCCACCAAGGCGACGAUCCGUAGCUGGUCUGAGAGGAUGAUCAGCCACACUGGAACUGAGACACGGUCCAGACUCCUACGGGAGGCAGCAGUGGGGAAUAUUGGACAAUGGGCGCAAGCCUGAUCCAGCCAUGCCGCGUGGGUGAAGAAGGCCUUCGGGUUGUAAAGCCCUUUUGUUGGGAAAGAAAAGCAGCAGGUUAAUACCCCGCUGUUCUGACGGUACCCAAAGAAUAAGCACCGGCUAACUUCGUG